Molecule: ribosomal RNA, 589 nt
Filed under: Staphylococcus aureus
Lineage: Bacteria; Bacillati; Bacillota; Bacilli; Caryophanales; Staphylococcaceae
Description: bacterial SSU rRNA
Rfam family: Bacterial small subunit ribosomal RNA
Source: RNAcentral
UAGCCGACCUGAGAGGGUGAUCGGCCACACUGGAACUGAGACACGGUCCAGACUCCUACGGGAGGCAGCAGUAGGGAAUCUUCCGCAAUGGGCGAAAGCCUGACGGAGCAACGCCGCGUGAGUGAUGAAGGUCUUCGGAUCGUAAAACUCUGUUAUUAGGGAAGAACAUAUGUGUAAGUAACUGUGCACAUCUUGACGGUACCUAAUCAGAAAGCCACGGCUAACUACGUGCCAGCAGCCGCGGUAAUACGUAGGUGGCAAGCGUUAUCCGGAAUUAUUGGGCGUAAAGCGCGCGUAGGCGGUUUUUUAAGUCUGAUGUGAAAGCCCACGGCUCAACCGUGGAGGGUCAUUGGAAACUGGAAAACUUGAGUGCAGAAGAGGAAAGUGGAAUUCCAUGUGUAGCGGUGAAAUGCGCAGAGAUAUGGAGGAACACCAGUGGCGAAGGCGACUUUCUGGUCUGUAACUGACGCUGAUGUGCGAAAGCGUGGGGAUCAAACAGGAUUAGAUACCCUGGUAGUCCACGCCGUAAACGAUGAGUGCUAAGUGUUAGGGGGUUUCCGCCCCUUAGUGCUGCAGCUAACGCAUUAAG